Molecule: transfer RNA, 75 nt
Filed under: Candidatus Aenigmatarchaeota archaeon
Lineage: Archaea; Nanobdellati; Candidatus Aenigmatarchaeota
Description: tRNA-Arg
Rfam family: tRNA
About the family: Transfer RNA (tRNA) molecules are approximately 80 nucleotides in length. Their secondary structure includes four short double-helical elements and three loops (D, anti-codon, and T loops). Further hydrogen bonds mediate the characteristic L-shaped molecular structure. tRNAs have two regions of fundamental functional importance: the anti-codon, which is responsible for specific mRNA codon recognition, and the 3' end, to which the tRNAs corresponding amino acid is attached (by aminoacyl-tRNA synthetases). tRNAs cope with the degeneracy of the genetic code in two manners: having more than one tRNA (with a specific anti-codon) for a particular amino acid; and 'wobble' base-pairing, i.e. permitting non-standard base-pairing at the 3rd anti-codon position.
Source: RNAcentral
GGGUCCGUAGCUCAGCCUGGACAGAGCGGCAGCCUCCUAAGUUGAAGGUCGCGGGUUCAAAUCCCGCCGGAUCCG